AAAGCUGAUCUCUCAGGUGUGAGCAGCACGCAUUGUUGAGAAAGAACAUUGCGGAGAUUCACACAGAACGGCAGGACCGAGCUAAGCUUUCCCGUAGGGCAGGUUUCAGUGGUUUCAAACAAGAAACUGCGCUACAUUUAAUAGAUUUAAAGCAAGACCCAUUGAUAGAGAUUAGAGUUGACAAAAAAUCUAUCGCAAGCAUAGGCAACUUUUUAAACGUCAUCGAGGGCAUCAAUACGCGCGCAAAAUGCAAUAUUAUUUCAAAUUCAUUUACUCAGUCUGUCUUAUAAUCAAUAUGAUUUUGAAUCCAUUAUCUUUUGGUGAGAUGUAUACGUCAUUAUUGAACGUCAAACAAGCCAUCAUUGUUGAAAGACAACUUAUUGAUCAUUUAGAAACGUAUAUUGAACACGAAUCGGAGAGACUUGAGUCGGAAGAACAUAUGCCAUUGAUGAAUCACUGGAAUGGAAAACCUCAUGCAUACAUGAUUGCAUGGUUGUCUCCCCUCUGUCCAUCUACCAUGGUAUCACCUUAGGGUGAUAUUCUCGCUAAACCUUUAGCACUUAUAGACUCUUUCUGCAGGUUUUAUGCAAAGGUGUCAGAAUUGCACAGUGGGGUGUACAAUGGACAAUCAGCUGCUAUGGCAAACCCCUUGGUGGCGUUUACUCUUAUCAAGCGCUUGCAGUCAGAGUGGAUUAAUCUGAUCUACAGUGAUGAAGCACAAGAGAACACCCAAGGUUGUUUCCCUUUAUGACUUAAAAAAAAAAAAAAUCUGGUCGACAUAACCUGGGACAUAAGUUUGACAAAGGUCCAUCCCCGCUUUUUGUGUUCUGUCGUCUAUAAUGUGCAAUGUAUGUGUUGUGUUGAGUGUGUAAUGUACAGUGUCUUUUGGGUCCUGGUCAAAAGUAGUGCACAAUAAAGGGAAUAGGAAUACAUUUGGAAGACGGACAAUGUCUUCCUCAUGAUGAGUCACUCCUCAAUGGAUCCUACUGUUUAUGUACAGUGGCAGUGCACACGGUGCACUGUGUGGGAGAGACAGUAUGGAAAAUACAUCAUAUCUGUUUAGGGAAGUCUAAGAAUGUGGAGUAAGGGCCUUUGCCUUCACUUGUGCUAACACCAGGAUUAUCUGACUGUGACCAUGUGUAAACAGAUGCUCCGUUUGGCAUGUUGCAUGCAGUAAUAGUUCUUCAACUGCACUUUUGUGGUGGCUAAAACCUAGUUGUUAAAACCAGCAGGGUUAUCUAAGGGUUAGCUUUAUUUCUCACAUUUCCAGGGCCCGUACAAAGCCUCAGUCACCAUCAACAAUCAUAGUACUACAUUUACUUUACAUCGCUCUCUCUUCUCUUCAGCUCUAGAUGUGAGAGAAUGAUAUUUACAAUACUAAAAAGGUGUUCACUCUUUCCUUCCAACAUAUAUUUUCAGGAAAAUAAUGUGUCUCAAUUUGUCAUUAUAAAAUGUUUCUGUUGUUUUCUAAUGCUAACAUCCUGUUGUUGUUUUUUUUUUUUUUUACCUUUAUUUAACCAGGCAAGUCAGUUAAGAACACAUUCUUAUUUUCAAUGACUGCCUGGGUUAACUGCCUGUUCAGGGGCAGAACGACAGAUUUGUACCUUGUCAGCUCGGGGGUUUCGAACUUGUAACCUUUCGGUUACUAGUCCACCGCUCUAACCACUAGGCUACGCUGCCGCCCCGUUGUAUAGUAGGUUACCUAUGAGCUGGAGGACUACUACCACUCAGUGCAGUGGCUGGAGGAGUCAGUGCGUCUGUUCCGAGGGGCGGGGGGAGUCCAGAGAAUGAGGGAACUCUGGAAGGUGCUCUGGAUCACUUGGCCUUCUCUCACUUCAAGACAGGAAACAUCUCCUAUGCACUGAGUCUCUCUCAGGAGUUGUUGAACCAUGUUAAGGAGAUCUGUGGUGGCAUCUGGAGAGGAACAGGCUACUGCAGAGUAUCGCAUCAGCAAGAGGUAGAGCGACGAGUCAAUCUGCAUUGAUCGGUUGAGGACUGCACAUCAAGUAGGAAUGACGCCACCUGUCAGAAGACAGAGUGUACAUAACAUCAGGUCGAGCUCAAACCAAGACAGUAACAUGAUCUGUAUUAUGAGAGUGUGUGUUUUGUUUUUCAGUGCAUGGCUAAAGGACACAGCCCACCCUAUCAUUGGGAGGCUGGACCAGAGAAUCACCUUACAUUUACAUUUACAUUUAAGUCAUUUAGCAGACGCUCUUAUCCAGAGCGACUUACAAAUUGGUGCAUACACCUUAUGACAUCCAGUGGAACAGCCACU
Oncorhynchus keta (chum salmon) is the source of this 2275-nucleotide long non-coding RNA. RefSeq lists it as uncharacterized. The record is from RefSeq and is a predicted model, not a curated record. The transcript is spliced from 5 exons. NCBI's taxonomy places the organism in Eukaryota, Metazoa, Chordata, Actinopteri, Salmoniformes, Salmonidae.